Long non-coding RNA from Acanthochromis polyacanthus (spiny chromis), 5475 nucleotides. RefSeq lists it as uncharacterized. The transcript is spliced from 3 exons. NCBI's taxonomy places the organism in Eukaryota, Metazoa, Chordata, Actinopteri, Pomacentridae. The record is from RefSeq and is a predicted model, not a curated record.
UGGAGGUUUUCGUUCCCUUCUCAUCUCUAGUAUGUUGUGGGACACUCAUUGAGACUAUCUGAGCCGGUCAGUGUGGGGCAAAAGCACGUUAGGGCGGACUUUGACGCGGGGGGGGGCGGGCAGCUGCCCCAUACUUUUCGCUAGCUGAGCUGCUAGCUGAGCUGCUAAGCUGCCUGCCUGGCUAAAUACUGGAGCUAUGUCAAAAAUUCAUUUCUCCAUCACUCACAUGUAUGAAAUUACAUAUGGAAACAGACCCCAGGUUGAAAAAAAACGAAGUUCCGCUUUAAAUCAGCUGGGAUAGACUCCAGCCCGACUGCAGCCCUACUGAGGAUUAAGCAGUGUAUAGAUGAUGGAUGGUUAUAAAAUAACUGUUGAACAGCAGAAUGUUUUUUGACCUAUGGACUGUGUCUAUAUCAUAGCUUCACACAGACAAAAAUUGUCAGAGAACCAGAAAAGCUGAAAGAAAAAUAGAGAAAAUGUGGAUCAGUGGCCAACUAAAAAUCAGUGAAACACAGUUCGGCAGUAAUCAGGAGGUGAGCCAAUAAUCAGAGCUGCAGUGGCCAUCAUCAUAAACUGACAGCGCAGACAGCCAGCGGCUUGUACAAUCUAACUCCGAAAAACAGGAAGGCAUAUUCAACAGACUUGGCACAGUGGUUAUUUAUGGGAGUCACAGUUUCUGUAUCGGCUCAGUCAGAGUGAAGGACAGUGCAUUACAUCAACCUCUAUGGACAGCAGCCGAGACAAAAAAAACUCUACUUGCUCUUCCUCUUUUUGGCAAGACUGAACUAAAGAAUAUAAAAAGAAGCCUGAUAAAUAUUAAAAAAGCAUUCUCUGAGCAGGGCUGCACAGUGGGAGGUGGUUAGCAUCGCCGCCUUGCAGCUAGAAGAUCCCCGGUUCGUGUCCCGGCCUGGGUCUGGGAUCUUUCUGCAUGGCGUUUGCAUGUUCUCCCUGUACUUGGGUUUUCUCCAGGUUCUCCAGCUAAACCUGUAAACCUGACAGAGACUACCACACUGAACGCACAGUCCUGACAGUGAAUCUCAGAAGUGUGAUGAGGAGAUGGUUUUAUAUAUGGUCCCAUGCAGAGUCUUGAUAUAACGGGAAUGUUCUAGCAUGAUAAUGACCCAAAGCACACAAGAGAAGAACACAAAUAAAGCUAUGACCUGGCCAAGUCUGCUGUGGAGGUUUUCUCCAGCUGCCUCCCACAAUCCAAAGGCACGAAUGAUUGGUUAACUAGCAAUUCUAAUUUGCCUGUAAGAAUUCUUUCUCCACAUCGGUAUCCACAGUAACCCAACCUUACCCUAACCCUCACUAGUUUUGCCUUCCUAUAGCUUACCAAACACAAAUGGCUACAACCAAUCAACAGCUAAAAAUUCAAAAUAAUGCUGUGCAGGACUUAAGAAUUUAUGGGAUCACAAUCAAAAAACACCGCAGCAGUUGUCUUCUCAAGUUGUCAAAUAUCAGCACAAAAGAACUUUAGCAAAAAAAUUUAAAAAAAAAACAGCCCACAAAUGCUGUUAAAAAGAGUGCACAGAAAAACUCUAUUCAACCUAUUUCCUGCUCACUAAAAUAGAUUCCUUUGUGUACUCACAUAUUACUGCUGAAUCCAUUUAUUAUGAAGGUCACAACAUAUUGUGGUAUUCAAAAUAGUUUUGUUAUUGAGGUCAAACAGACUUGACCUCUCUUUAUGUGAUUUCUUUAGGACGACACCGAACAACUGAAAUCCUUAAAACCCUUUGGCAGUUUAGUGUGCCGCUCCUCUCAGCAUUGUCUCUUCUGUUCUUAUAUUGUAGCCUGCUGGGUUACUUACUCAUUCAACAUUCAUGUCUUGCUUUGCCUCAUCUUUGCAGCAGCGGGCUUGUGGAUUCUUUACCUUUGUGCUGCUGCUGAAUUCUUCUUGAUGGCGGUACAGUCUCGAUAAAGGCCAGGGGUUGAAUUUGUUGUGUAAGCAUUCCUCAGGGGAGCUAUUUUCUUUUGCCACCUACAUCUAUACCUCACUAAUUCAUGACCUGUCUAUAAAUGCUUUGUUAGUAACAAUGCCACCCCCGAAGCUACUGGCUUAAAGAUCAGAAUAAGAAGCGCUGUCAUUCGCAAAUUUCCUCUGACAAACACACAUAAUUACAGGAAUUAGUCCGCUAUUUUGUCAUUAGCCUUCACUUUCAAUGAGCCAAUAAUAAAAAGAGAAACAAGAGUCAGAGACAAAGACGGAUGUCUUUAGAGGAUUUCAAGACAAUUACUCCCCCCACUUCUUUGCCCACACAUUCAAUUUGCUAUUUUAUUAAUAUUAUUAAUAUAGUCAAGCUUCAAGCUUUGAAGCCGAGAGUUUUUCUUCUGAUUGGUAUUGUGUGAGCACUGAUGGCUUAGCUCAGGGAAAGUCAGCGUGAUUUCAAAUGCACUUUGUUAGUGCCAUGAUGAAAAUGGCAGCUCGCCUUUUUAAAGCCGUAUAUUUGCAAGCGUGAUUAUGGGGUGUGUGUUCAAAUAAAUGAAGCCAAAACAAUGACACACAAUCAGGACUUCAUAAGCCAGGGAAAGGCCACGGACAGAUUAAUAAGUGCUUUGUAGACAUACGUGCAUACACACAUGUACAUGCAAAGAACUUUUGGAAUUACAGAUAUAUGUGACACAGCAGACAAGAUUUUGUCCGGGACCAUUCUGUAUCCAAAUGAGCAGGAGAAAGCAGCGAUCCCACCAUGUAAUUUACUGUUGAUUUGUGUUUGCACAAAUGGAGCCUGAUGUCUUUCAACAUUAAUAAGGGUAAUAUUUACCCUCUCCUUGUCCUGACAGGCCUUGGCAGUGACGAACAGUUAGCUAUGUGAGGCAAGAGAAAGACAAGGGACGUUAAUUGUUGGACAUGUGAAGUAUCCCUCUUACUGCUGCUCUUGUUGAGCCUGUUAAAGUGACAGUAAUAACACUGAAGUAAUGGAACUAUAAAUAGCAAUGAAGUUGUCACUGAUGGUUUUAAGUGAAUUUAUGUAAAUUCUCCGUUUACUACAAAGACUAGUAAAUAAUGGAUGACUAUUGUAGGAUGCACUCACUUGUUUCAUCCCAGCUUACUGAUCUUUGGAGACUAUAGUUUUAGCGCAUUGACGAGCAAGCUGAGUGUCAUCAGUGUUGUUGGUCCUUUCAAAAUGUUUUUAAAACCAUCAUGUGGUGCCAAAUAUGAUACACCAACCAGACAGCAACAGUAUAACCACCAGCCUAAUCGUGUGUAAGUCCCCAUCAAGACCUGCAGUUGCAAGUUCAAGACCUCCUUGGAUCCACUGUUGUUUUUGAUGACUGAUUAAUUGCUGUAUUUAGAGAUAAUAGGCCUCUGUGGUCUCUUUCUACAAAAUGAAAAUAUGUUUUUCUAGUAUGGUCUUGGGCUGCACAGGUGGUUAGCACUUUCACCUUGCAGCUAGAAGAUCCCGGUUCAAAUCCCGGGGUGGGCCUAGGAUCUUUCUGCAUGGAGUUUGCAUGUUCUCCCUGUGCAUGCGUGGGUUUUCUCCGGGCACUCCGGCUUCCUCCCACAGUCCAAAAAUAUGCUGAGGUUAAUUGGUUACUCUAAAUUGCCCGUAAGUGUGAAUGUGAGUGUGAUUGUUUGUCUGUAUAUGUAGCCCUGCGACAGACUGGUGACCUGUCCAGGGUGUCCCCUGCCUUUGCCCGAGUCAGCUGGGAUAGGCUCCAGCACCCUCCGCGACCCUAGAGAGGAUAAAGCGGUGUAUAGAGAAUGGAUGGAUGGAUGUUUAGGCUCUUUAACCCAGCUGGAAAGCUGUAUAUACCUUCUCAUUUUGGACUGUUAACAUUCAAAUUAUGAUGGACUUGUUUCCUUGUUUAUGUGAAUUACAGCAUCAUUGCUGCAGCAUCUGCCUGUUAUGUAAAACUGUAAGCUCAACGACAGAAUCCUGAAGGCAGUUAAGUGAAAAAUAAUGUGCAAGAACAGCACGAUAUACAACCCUGUCAAUUUCCACUUCUUAGAAUGUUUACUGACAAUAAUCACACCUAAAAUAAGAAAUAAUAUUCUGUACUUUUAGCAACUAGUUCUAAGUUGUAAACCAUAAACAUCAUAGGGUUCUGUUUACUAAUCAGUCGAAAUCUAAAUGAGUACUUCCCAAUACACAGUGAACAACAACAAUCUGUACCCUUGAUCUGUGGUAAAAUAAUCUGAAAUGUUCUGUGCAGUAAUGUCAAUUUUAAAAUACAGUAAGUAGCACUCUAUACAUUUAACAAUAAACCUGAGAACAAUAAUAAACAGUAACAAUAUUCCAUAUUCUUAAGUCAUUUAAUAGUUCACAGCUCAGCAAACAUAGUGUUCUGCAUAGAAAUCACAAAAAGCUGCUCUCAAUAAUCUUUCACAGUGAGCAGAUGUUCUUGUGUUGCAGGUCCAUGGUCCAGACGUGGCCGUGGAAGAAAGCUGAAAAAGUGAAGGUUGCAGCAGGAAACGUCAACUACUCGAGUCCUCCAUGACUAGCUUGGAAAAUCCAAACUAAAUCUCCAUGUUCUCCUAUCUCCAUGUUAGGAGAUACAGGAGAAUCAGGUUGGCAUUGGGCGAAUUGAAUCGCGUUUCCCUCCAGGGAAAGUUUGGUACGACCAAUCAUAGCACGGGAGGCGGAAGUUAAUGCUGCGUCAUCUUCCGACGAUGAGGAGGCAGUGGAUGGCUCGUUACUUUCACCUUCUUGCCAUUGUUUGUACAGAGGAAAAUCCCGUUUCAAACGUUCUGUCCUCCGCAGAAGAGGAACCUGAAGGAUGAGAUAAAAAGCUCCACCCUGGUUGCACCGUACUUGGGAUUCAUGGGGUUCAGAAUGUGGUUGUUCCACCGAAACUUCACCUCCGUCACGUCACUCAAGUACUUGUCAGCAUCAAUCAGCAUCUCGUACCUCCGCCCAGGAUUCAGCAUACCCCUGGAGUGUCACAUUGUUCACUCAUUACAUGAACCUUUAGAUAUAGUAUAAUAAUAUGAUACUUAAUGAAAAUACUGCACAUUCACUGCAUAAACCCACUCUAGAAGACUCUGUGUAAAAGGAUCGUUUUUGAGUCAAAUUACAUGUAUUUUUAUUGAUUUUGUCUGCUUUGUGUAUCACUAACAUUUGAUCUCUAUGGAGAAAACAUGACAAAAGGCAAGCUGUGGCAAUGGAUUCUUCGUUUUCCAUUUAUGACAUACUCUGAAAUGUUUAGUUUAUUUUAAAAGCAUCAUCAAACUGCAGAAUACUUCUACAUUACUUAGUUUUAUGUAAAAUGGAAAAAGCAAGCCAUCACAUCAGAUCCGUUUGUCAGUCAUCUACUCCUUCUCAUACAGUACAGGAUGUUGGUCAGCCUUCAGCACCUGAGGAACAGGAACUCAUUUUCAUAUAUAAUUGGCUUUCUUCGACUAUUAAUGUAAUAAUGAUACAGGUGAAGGUUUUUGAUGUGUGAUUUAGACUGUGUGUAAUUAUCAUAGUUGAACUAAGCUCAGAGACUAUAAAAUAUAAAAUCACACGGAGGUUUCUACACCUUCACAUUUUA